AGGUUACAAAUCUGGCUGUCGUGAUGCCUAAAAAGCAUUGCAUAGCAAGGGCCGGGCAAGACCGGUGCCAGCCGCCGCGGUAACACCGGCGGCUCGAGUGGUAACCGUUAUUAUUGGGUCUAAAGGGUCUGUAGCCGGCCGGAUAAGUCUCUUGAGAAAUCCGGCAGCUCAACUGUUGGGCUUUCAGGAGAUACUGUCUGGCUCGAGGCCGGGAGAGGUGAGAGGUACUUCAGGGGUAGGGGUGAAAUCUUGUAAUCCUUGAAGGACCACCAGUGGCGAAGGCGUCUCACCAGAACGGACCUGACGGCAAGGGACGAAAGCUAGGGGCACGAACCGGAUUAGAUACCCGGGUAGUCCUAGCCGUAAACGAUACUCGCUAGGUGUCGGCCACGGUGCGACCGUUGUCGGUGCCGUAGGGAAGCCGUGAAGCGAGCCACCUGGGAAGUACGGCCGCAAGGCUGAAACUUAAAGGAAUUGGCGGGGGAGCACCACAACGGGUGGAGCUUGCGGU
This 511-nucleotide ribosomal RNA is filed under the name uncultured Methanosaeta sp. Its description in RNAcentral is "bacterial SSU rRNA". It matches the Rfam family "Archaeal small subunit ribosomal RNA", at positions 390 to 901 of the family's 1478-position model. The record is from RNAcentral. Lineage: Archaea; Methanobacteriati; Methanobacteriota; Methanomicrobia; Methanotrichales; Methanotrichaceae.